UAAGGAAUCUUCCACAAUGGGGGCAACCCUGAUGGAGCAAUACCGCGUGCAGGAUGAAGCGUUUCGGCGUGUAAACUGCUUUUAUCUGUGAUGAUUAUGACAGUAGCAGAAGAAUAAGGAUCGGCUAACUACGUGCCAGCAGCCGCGGUAAUACGUAGGAUCCAAGCGUUAUCCGGAAUUACUGGGCGUAAAGCGUCUGUAGGCGGCUUUUUAAGUCGGGUGCGAAAUCUUGCGGCUCAACCGUAUAGAC
Molecule: ribosomal RNA, 250 nt
Filed under: uncultured bacterium
Lineage: Bacteria
Description: partial 16S ribosomal RNA
Rfam family: Bacterial small subunit ribosomal RNA
Source: RNAcentral